AUGAAUAAUAAUGCCGUUCGUAUAUCCUCGACAAUAUGGGUCGAAAGUUUCUACCGGGGCACCGUAAAUGCCCUGACUAUGAAGGCAGAGUC
This 92-nucleotide non-coding RNA is filed under the name Oceanobacillus massiliensis. Its description in RNAcentral is "Purine riboswitch". The stretch from base 17 to 83 matches the Rfam family "Purine riboswitch aptamer", at positions 20 to 86 of the family's 102-position model. From Rfam's summary of the family: Riboswitches are metabolite binding domains within certain messenger RNAs that serve as precision sensors for their corresponding targets. Allosteric rearrangement of mRNA structure is mediated by ligand binding, and this results in modulation of gene expression. A class of riboswitches that selectively recognises guanine and becomes saturated at concentrations as low as 5 nM. Lineage: Bacteria; Bacillati; Bacillota; Bacilli; Caryophanales; Bacillaceae. The record is from RNAcentral.